RNAcentral lists this ribosomal RNA (486 nucleotides) under uncultured bacterium. RNAcentral's name for it is "bacterial SSU rRNA". It matches the Rfam family "Bacterial small subunit ribosomal RNA", at positions 28 to 507 of the family's 1533-position model. The record is from RNAcentral.
GAUGAACGCUAGCUACAGGCUUAACACAUGCAAGUCGAGGGGCAGCGCAGUGUAGCAAUACAUGGGCGGCGACCGGCGCACGGGUGCGUAACGCGUAUCCAACCUUCCCGUUACUCAGGGAUAGCCUUCCGAAAGGGAGAUUAAUACCUGAUGGUGUUCAAAUUCCGCAUGUUAUUUGAACUAAAGAUUUAUCGGUAACGGAUGGGGAUGCGUGACAUUAGGUAGAUGGCGGGGUAACGGCCCACCAUGCCUACGAUGUCUAGGGGUUCUGAGAGGAAGGUCCCCCACACUGGAACUGAGACACGGUCCAGACUCCUACGGGAGGCAGCAGUGAGGAAUAUUGGUCAAUGGGCGGGAGCCUGAACCAGCCAAGUAGCGUGAAGGAUGACUGCCCUACGGGUUGUAAAACUUCUUUUGUUUGGGAAUAAAGACGCUACGUGUAGCGUUGUGCAUGUACCUUACGAAUAAGCAUCGGCUAAUUCCGUG